CCAAACCAGGUCCAAUGUCAUUUUCUCUUCCUGCUGCCUGCUGAUCAGUUGGUAGAACUCUCAGCUACCUCUCCAGCACCAUGUCUGCCUGCAUGCUGCCAUGUUUCCUGCCAUGACAAUAAUGGACUAAACCUCUGAACCUUUUGCACAGAAACUUCCAGCACUAUGAAGCCUAGCCAGUUGAGAAAAGGUUUGAAGAUGCUGGCUGAUUACCUCUGGAUGCCUGACCUUGGUGGAGAAUGGUUCACAGUUUGUUUAACAAUAGGCCUAGGCACCUGGGUAGAUGCACACCAAUCUUGGGGCUGGUGGAAUGUGCCUACAAACUAGUAAGCUACUUAAGAGGAUGCUUGAAAAAACUGUGGACUCCAGUAUGGACUGAUAGCCCUCGUGAGAUAACAAGAUGCCUCUGUCUCAUCCUUAACACCGUUGGGUAGUUAGGAAUGUCCUCGUCCAUACUCUCCCACUCAGGGAUGUCCCGGGGCUGUUCUGCUGACUCCGAUUGCAGCCCCAAAGACAUCAGUCCAGAAUAGAUGGUGUCUGUAGCAUGGGACUGAUACAGACCGGACCCUGGCAAUGGACACUAUCUUUGAGUCAACAGUACCCAUUCUCAUGAAAGAAGUCAAAUGUACUUUA
This 633-nucleotide long non-coding RNA is filed under the name Cricetulus griseus (Chinese hamster). Its description in RNAcentral is "lncRNA (ENSCGRG00015033097.1)". Lineage: Eukaryota; Metazoa; Chordata; Mammalia; Rodentia; Cricetidae. The record is from RNAcentral.